RNAcentral lists this ribosomal RNA (719 nucleotides) under Staphylococcus sp. C34. Its description in RNAcentral is "bacterial SSU rRNA". It matches the Rfam family "Bacterial small subunit ribosomal RNA", at positions 67 to 768 of the family's 1533-position model. The record is from RNAcentral. Lineage: Bacteria; Bacillati; Bacillota; Bacilli; Caryophanales; Staphylococcaceae.
CGGACGAGAAGCUUGCUUCUCUGAUGUUAGCGGCGGACGGGUGAGUAACACGUGGAUAACCUACCUAUAAGACUCGGGAUAACUUCGGGAAACCGGAGCUAAUACCGGAUAAUAUUUUGAACCGCAUGGUUCAAAAGUGAAAGACGGUCUUGCUGUCACUUAUAGAUGGAUCCGCGCUGCAUUAGCUAGUUGGUAAGGUAACGGCUUACCAAGGCAACGAUGCAUAGCCGACCUGAGAGGGUGAUCGGCCACACUGGAACUGAGACACGGUCCAGACUCCUACGGGAGGCAGCAGUAGGGAAUCUUCCGCAAUGGGCGAAAGCCUGACGGAGCAACGCCGCGUGAGUGAUGAAGGUCUUCGGAUCGUAAAACUCUGUUAUUAGGGAAGAACAUAUGUGUAAGUAACUGUGCACAUCUUGACGGUACCUAAUCAGAAAGCCACGGCUAACUACGUGCCAGCAGCCGCGGUAAUACGUAGGUGGCAAGCGUUAUCCGGAAUUAUUGGGCGUAAAGCGCGCGUAAGGCGGUUUUUUAAGUCUGAUGUGAAAGCCCACGGCUCAACCGUGGAGGGUCAUUGGAAACUGGAAAACUUGAGUGCAGAAGAGGAACANGUGGAAUUUCCAUGUGUAGCGGUGAAAUGCGCAGAGAUAUGGAGGAACACCAGUGGCGAAGGCGACUUUCUGGUCUGUACUGACGCUGAUGUGCGAAAGCGUGGGGAC